AGCUUUCUGAAUCUGUGCAAAGGUUUCCUCAGACACCAACCCAUUAGUACCGAUCAGACUUCCAAGAUAAAUGAAGUU
This is a non-coding RNA of Schistosoma rodhaini, 78 nucleotides long. NCBI's taxonomy places the organism in Eukaryota, Metazoa, Platyhelminthes, Trematoda, Strigeidida, Schistosomatidae. The record is from Rfam.